AUAGUCUAGUAGUUUUUCUGUUUGCUCCGUGCUUGGGGCAGGGAUGGGAGGAGGAGGAGCUUGGCAAGUUAUCUUCUCCUUCCGUGAAACAGAGCACUUUAAAGUGCUUACUUUCUUUAUCACUUACUUUCUCAUAUUGGCCUUCCAGGUAUAUGCUCGUAUGUCAGAAGUCUUAGGAAUAACAGAUGACAACCACGUUCUAGAAACAUUCAUGACAAAAAUUGUUACAAACCUUAAAUACUGGGGAAGAUGUGAGCCUGUAAUUUCAAGGACUCUUCAGUUCCUAAAUGACCUUUCUGUUGGUUAUAUCCUUUUAAAAAAACUUGUGAAGAUAGAUGCUGUGAAAUUCAUGCUAAAAAACCACACGAGUGAACACUUCCCUUUUCUUGGCAUCAGUGACAAUCAUAGUCUCAGCGACUUCAGGUGUCGAACAACCUUCUACACAGCGCUCACUCGCCUUCUGAUGGUAGAUCUAGGUGAAGAUGAGGAUGAAUUUGAGAAUUUCAUGCUGCCUCUUACAGUUGCUUUUGAAACAGUAUUACAAAUAUUCAACAACAACUUUAAACAAGAAGAUGUAAAGCGUAUGUUGAUCGGGCUGGCAAGAGAUCUUCGAGGGAUUGCCUUUGCACUGAACACAAAGACCAGCUACACCAUGCUGUUUGACUGGAUGUACCCAACGUACCUUCCCCUUCUUCAGAAUGCUGUUGAACGGUGGUAUGGA
This 721-nucleotide small RNA is filed under the name Pan troglodytes (chimpanzee). RNAcentral describes it as "processed transcript". The record is from RNAcentral. Lineage: Eukaryota; Metazoa; Chordata; Mammalia; Primates; Hominidae.